UGGGGAAUCUUGCGCAAUGGGCGAAAGCCUGACGCAGCGACGCCGCGUGGGGGAUGAAGCAUUUCGGUGUGUAAACCCCUUUCGACUGGGACGAAUGCCUCGCAAGAGGAGUGACGGUACCAGUAGAAGAAGCCCCGGCUAACUACGUGCCAGCAGCCGCGGUAAGACGUAGGGGGCCAGCGUUGUUCGGAAUUACUGGGUGUAAAGGGCGCGCAGGCGGCCAUUCAAGUCAGGCGUGAAAGCCCCGGGCUUAACCUGGGAGGUGCGUCUGGGACUGGGUGGCUAGAGAUCGGGAGAGGAGAGUGGAAUUCCCAGUGUAGAGGUGAAAUUCGUAGAUAUUGGGAAGAACACCGGUGGCGAAGGCGGCUCUCUGGACCGAUACUGACGCUGAGGCGCGAAAGCGUGGGGAGCAAAC
RNAcentral lists this ribosomal RNA (415 nucleotides) under uncultured bacterium. Its description in RNAcentral is "bacterial SSU rRNA". It matches the Rfam family "Bacterial small subunit ribosomal RNA", at positions 355 to 773 of the family's 1533-position model. The record is from RNAcentral.